This 1081-nucleotide ribosomal RNA is filed under the name Cellulosimicrobium sp. Its description in RNAcentral is "bacterial SSU rRNA". Lineage: Bacteria; Bacillati; Actinomycetota; Actinomycetes; Micrococcales; Promicromonosporaceae. The record is from RNAcentral.
ACSGGAGGCAGCAGUGGGGAAUAUUGCACAAUGGGCGAAAGCCUGAUGCAGCGACGCCGCGUGAGGGAUGRAGGMYUUCGGGUKGUAAACCYYUUUCAGCAGGGAAGAAGCGCAAGUGACGGUACCUGCAGAAGAAGCGCCGGCUAACUACGUGCCAGCAGCCGCGGUAAUACGUAGGGCGCAGGCGUUGUCCGGAAUUAUUGGGCGUAAAGAGCUCGUAGGCGGUUUGUCGCGUCUGGUGUGAAAACUCGAGGCUCAACCUCGAGCUUGCAUCGGGUACGGGCAGACUAGAGUGCGGUAGGGGAGACUGGAAUUCCUGGUGUAGCGGUGGAAUGCGCAGAUAUCAGGAGGAACACCGAUGGCGAAGGCAGGUCUCUGGGCCGCAACUGACGCUGAGGAGCGAAAGCAUGGGGAGCGAACAGGAUUAGAUACCCUGGUAGUCCAUGCCGUAAACGUUGGGCACUAGGUGUGGGGCUCAUUCCACGAGUUCCGUGCCGCAGCAAACGCAUUAAGUGCCCCGCCUGGGGAGUACGGCCGCAAGGCUAAAACUCAAAGGAAUUGACGGGGGCCCGCACAAGCGGCGGAGCAUGCGGAUUAAUUCGAUGCAACGCGAAGAACCUUACCAAGGCUUGACAUGCACGAGAAGCCACCAGAGAUGGUGGUCUCUUUGGACACUCGUGCACAGGUGGUGCAUGGUUGUCGUCAGCUCGUGUCGUGAGAUGUUGGGUUAAGUCCCGCAACGAGCGCAACCCUCGUCCCAUGUUGCCAGCGGGUUAUGCCGGGGACUCAUGGGAGACUGCCGGGGUCAACUCGGAGGAAGGUGGGGAUGACGUCAAAUCAUCAUGCCCCUUAUGUCUUGGGCUUCACGCAUGCUACAAUGGCCGGUACAAAGGGCUGCGAUACCGUAAGGUGGAGCGAAUCCCAAAAAGCCGGUCUCAGUUCGGAUUGGGGUCUGCAACUCGACCCCAUGAAGUCGGAGUCGCUAGUAAUCGCAGAUCAGCAACGCUGCGGUGAAUACGUUCCCGGGCCUUGUACACACCGCCCGUCAAGUCACGAAAGUCGGUAACACCCGAAGCCCAUG